RNAcentral lists this ribosomal RNA (253 nucleotides) under uncultured Bilophila sp. RNAcentral describes it as "partial 16S ribosomal RNA". It matches the Rfam family "Bacterial small subunit ribosomal RNA", at positions 524 to 776 of the family's 1533-position model. Lineage: Bacteria; Pseudomonadati; Thermodesulfobacteriota; Desulfovibrionia; Desulfovibrionales; Desulfovibrionaceae. The record is from RNAcentral.
UACGUAGGGGGCAAGCGUUAUCCGGAUUUACUGGGUGUAAAGGGAGCGUAGGCGGCUUAGUAAGUCAGAAGUGAAAGCCCGCAGCUCAACUGCGGGACUGCUUUUGAAACUGUAGAGCUUGAGUGUCGGAGAGGGUGGCGGAAUUCCAGGUGUAGGAGUGAAAUCCGUAGAUAUCUGGAGGAACACCGGUGGCGAAGGCGGCCACCUGGACGACAACUGACGCUGAGGUGCGAAAGCGUGGGUAGCAAACAGG